GGAAUCUUCCACAAUGGACGAAAGUCUGAUGGAGCAACGCCGCGUGAGUGAAGAAGGGUUUCGGCUCGUAAAACUCUGUUGUUAAAGAAGAACAUAUCUGAGAGUAACUGUUCAGGUAUUGACGGUAUUUAACCAGAAAGCCACGGCUAGCUACGUGCCAG
This 161-nucleotide ribosomal RNA is filed under the name uncultured bacterium. RNAcentral describes it as "partial 16S rRNA". It matches the Rfam family "Bacterial small subunit ribosomal RNA", at positions 358 to 511 of the family's 1533-position model. The record is from RNAcentral.